This 149-nucleotide small nuclear RNA is filed under the name Rhodosorus marinus. RNAcentral describes it as "partial Dictyostelium signal recognition particle". Lineage: Eukaryota; Rhodophyta; Stylonematophyceae; Stylonematales; Stylonemataceae. The record is from RNAcentral.
AGAGGCGGUGGGGGGGGGGGCGUUUUGGUUUUGUUGCGUGGAAAAAGCAUCCGAUAUGGCUGGUCCACAGAACGUGGGUGGGAAGGCGGCGACGUCCGUACUGAUGAGGUUCAUCAACUCUCCGACUGGGCCGAGAACGACUCAUUUUU